Molecule: ribosomal RNA, 465 nt
Filed under: uncultured Burkholderiales bacterium
Lineage: Bacteria; Pseudomonadati; Pseudomonadota; Betaproteobacteria; Burkholderiales
Description: partial 16S ribosomal RNA
Source: RNAcentral
GACUACAGGGGUAUCUAAUCCUGUUUGCUCCCCACGCUUUCGUGCAUGAGCGUCAGUACAGGCCCAGGGGAUUGCCUUCGCCAUCGGUGUUCCUCCGCAUAUCUACGCAUUUCACUGCUACACGCGGAAUUCCAUCCCCCUCUGCCGUACUCCAGCCGUGCAGUCACAAGUGCAGUUCCCAGGUUAAGCCCGGGGAUUUCACACCUGUCUUGCACAACCGCCUGCGCACGCUUUACGCCCAGUAAUUCCGAUUAACGCUUGCACCCUACGUAUUACCGCGGCUGCUGGCACGUAGUUAGCCGGUGCUUAUUCUUCAGGUACCGUCAUCCUCCCGAGGUAUUAACCCAGAAGAUUUCUUCCCUGACAAAAGCGGUUUACAACCCGAAGGCCUUCUUCCCGCACGCGGCAUGGCUGGAUCAGGCUUGCGCCCAUUGUCCAAAAUUCCCCACUGCAGCCUCCCGUAGG